UAAGGUGUUGGUGUUAUGAGUGAUAAGUGGGGUGUUGCUGGGGUGACGGACGGUUGUGAGUGGUGGACGCGCACGCCUGUUGGGGACACAAGUUCCCCGCCCAGCUGCCGAGGAGAGGAGAGGAUGAACUACAUUGGCAAGUUCAUAUCCAACUUCAAGGAUUUCUACAACGAGAUCAACGCCGCGACACUAACGGGUGCCAUCGACGUGGUUGUGGUGCAGCAGGAAGAUGGCACGCUGGUCAGCUCACCCUUCCACGUCCGCUUCGGCAAGAUGGGCGUCCUCAGGAGUCGGGAGAAGGUGGUUGAUAUUGAGAUUAAUGGAGAGCCUGUUGAUAUCCACAUGAAGCUUGGAGAGACAGGGGAGGCCUUUUUUGUGGAAGAGGUUGAGGAAGGUGACAAUGUAAGUCCCCUGUUAGGGACUUCACCUCUGCCCCCCUCAAUCCUACAGAAUUACCAAGGGAUUGCAGAAGACUUUGAAUGCCAGAGGCAUGAUUCUGGCAUUGAUAACUCUGCUGACUCCUCUACAAGUGUACCAAAGAACAUUAAUAAUGGUAAGAGGGUGGAGGGAGAGGAAACUCAGUCCCACCAGAGGACUGUAAUUCUAGGUGGCAAGACCAAAGAGGAAGACUCAGAGGUUGGAGUAAUCAAGAAAGUGAAGAAAAGUGUUGAGAAGAAGGAUGUUAGAAGCAGCUAUGCUCAAACUGAUGAGUCUUUCAAAUUAUCUGAAGUUCCUAAGAAGGGAGUGAAAGAGUCUGCUUCACUCAAGAGUCCUCAAAAAUUGGGAAGGAAUGAUGUUACUGGGUCCAGACGCAGCAGUUUGUUAGCAGAGACACAUGGAAGCAAGACUGAUGGAGAAGAGACUGUUAGAGCCAGCAAAAAUAACCGACGCAAACGUAAGAAGCGGUGCUACAACAAGAAGCAGCGUCCCAAGAGCUCAGGAAGUCAGUCCAGUGACACCUCCACCACCAGUGAGGUGGCAGAUUUGUCUGCUGUAGUUCCACCAGUGGCCAAUCAAGAGGGCAUUUUUGUUAUGGAUGAUGUUGAUUCAUCUGAGAAGUCUGCAUCAAUGCCACUGUUACAUGAAAAGUCUCGGGAUGAAGCCGUGCAGGAGUGGAACAAUGCCCUAUCCAGGUCCAUGGGGCCAGACUUCCAUCCAUUCAGUGACACUGACCUCAGUCCUCCUCCAAGUCCCUCCAACUCCCGACCACCAACACCAAUCAAGUCCGACACCGAGUAUGAGGUUGAGCGGCAAAAGGCUGAUUUCAUUGAUGGUUCGUCUCAGACUGAUGAGAACAAGUGGCAGUGGACCUGGGGAGAGCUGCCCACCCCUCCCCCAAAGACACCAACACGCAUGGCAGCUUCUCAUCCUGAUUCUCCACUUGUCAAGACUAGUACUGACAAAAAUAACAUAAUUGGGAAGGAUGAAGAUGAUGAACGCUCAGUGUUGGGCAGUAUGUUUAGAUUCAUGCGGGUCACCAAGAAGGCUCGCCAUAACCCUGAGAGUGAGGGGAUUUACCUUGAUGAUCUUAACUUGGAGGAGCUGGACCCUGAAGUGGCAGCUCUGUACUUUCCUCGAAACUUCAGAGUACCUGAAAAGUCUGGUUACAGUGGCUAUCCUUCUGGAAAUACCAAGGAUGAGGAUGCUGAGUCUGGCAAUGGUCCCUCCCUCCCUCAGUCUCCACAUAGUGUAGAAGGUGCCAUUGGUGGUCCAAAAAUUUGCAGUGACUCUGAUUUUGAAGAUUCAAGACAUCCUAGUUUUGACUACAAAGGCUACCAAGACAUUGCCUUCUCAUUGUGUGGUCGCCUUAAUGAAUAUGAGACCGACUUCCCGGAGAGCCUCUUCUUGCAGAGCCUUGUUACCUAUGAUGACUUUUGUGAGAAUCCGAAUAUCUUAGACAACCCGGACCUUGUGAUAAGACUAGGAGGGAAGUACGUGAAUUGGGCAACUGCAGCUCCUCAAAUCAUGUCUUUAGUGCUAUUCCAAAGGCCUGUUCCUCAGAAACUUGCUGAUGAUCUCAUGAAAGACAACAUGCCCAAGAAGACCAGGAAACGCUCAGAGUCAAAGGGGUACUCAUGGUUCUCUUGGAGGCGUAACAACCAGACUGAGGAUCCUGACACCAACAAAGACAUAAAUACAGAUGCUGAGAAGAGUGCCAUGCUGCCAUCACAAUCUAAGGAGCAAGAAGCCAGUCAGCCAAUAGACUCAAGCCUCAUUGAGGUAACUGCAGCUGAAACUCAGACCAGCUUACCAGGAACUCCAAGGAAGCAGGGUGUUCAUAAUCGUAAGGUGGGCACAGAUUCCUCUGAGUCAGAGGACUUAGAAGAAGGAAAGGAAAGGAAGUUUUCUGGAGAAAGAUACAAAAAGAGCUUGAGACUUUCAUCAGAACAACUGGUAAAGCUUAAUCUUAAAGAAGGAAGGAAUGAAGCACUGUUUUCAGUGACCACUGCUUACCAGGGAACUACACGGUGCAAGUGUCAUAUCUUCUUGUGGAACUACAAUGCCAAGAUUGUAGUUUCAGAUAUUGAUGGAACCAUCACUAAGUCAGAUGUACUUGGUCAUCUUUUGCCUAUCCUUGGAAAGGAUUGGGCCCAGAGUGGUGUGGCACAGCUGUUCACCAAGAUCAAGAACAAUGGAUACAACUUCUUGUACCUGUCAGCUAGGGCCAUAGGACAAGCACGUAUUACUCGGGAUUACCUGAGGUCUGUCAAGCAGGGAGAUUUGUCCCUCCCAGACGGGCCACUGCUGCUGAAUCCCACGUCUCUGGUGCAAGCCUUUCAUCGAGAAGUAAUUGAGAAGAAACCUGAGGAAUUCAAGAUAUCAUGUCUGAGAGAUAUUCAAGCUCUUUAUCCCUCUGACAGAAAUCCAUUUUACUCUGGAUAUGGAAACAAAAUCAAUGAUGUGUGGGCUUACCGUGCUGUUGGAAUUCCAAUAUCACGAAUCUUUACCAUAAAUCACCGAGGGGAAUUGAAACACGAACUGACUCAAACAUUCCAAUCCUCUUACAUACGACAGAGCUCUGUAGUUGAUGAAACUUUUCCACCCAUUGGAAAUAGAGAAAUUUCCCGCAAUUUGAUGACAUUUGUAUACAGUGACAGUGACACGGAAGAUGAUGAUAACCGUGUUGACUCUAUGGAUAAUAUGGAGAGUGACUGGGUCUGGUAUCCUUCAGAACUGUUGUCAUUUUACUCUAGAGAUUUAAGAAGGCAUAGUGAAUGAGCAUAUAUAUCAAAGUGGCAGACUAUUUGGAGAGUGCAUAAAGAGUGAUGAAAAUUUUGAGCAAAGCCUCAACAAGGUUAUUGAAGAUCAACGUUCUAGCUAUGUCCAAAAUUCUAGUCUGUUCGAGACUAGACCAGAAGUCUUACCUAGGAUACUCCAACUUGAGUGAUAUAUCCAAUCACAUGUUCCCACCUGUGGCCCAUCAGGAGACUCUUGGGGAGUACUCCUCCCUUCAGUACUGGAGGCCUCCUAUGCCUGAUGUCUCACUUGAGAUUGAAGCCAUUCUUUG
RNAcentral lists this unclassified non-coding RNA (3508 nucleotides) under Portunus trituberculatus (swimming crab). RNAcentral describes it as "phosphatidate phosphatase LPIN3-like, transcript variant X4". Lineage: Eukaryota; Metazoa; Arthropoda; Malacostraca; Decapoda; Portunidae. The record is from RNAcentral.